GCGGAAGUAGUUCAGCGGUAGAACACCACCUUGCCAAGGUGGGGGUCGCGGGUUCGAGUCCCGUCUUCCGCU
Geobacillus kaustophilus HTA426 is the source of this 72-nucleotide transfer RNA. It matches the Rfam family "tRNA". From Rfam's summary of the family: Transfer RNA (tRNA) molecules are approximately 80 nucleotides in length. Their secondary structure includes four short double-helical elements and three loops (D, anti-codon, and T loops). The record is from Rfam. Lineage: Bacteria; Bacillati; Bacillota; Bacilli; Caryophanales; Anoxybacillaceae.